CCUACGGGAGGCUGCAGUAGGGAAUAUUGCUCAAUGGGGGAAACCCUGAAGCAGCAACGCCGCGUGGAGGAUGAAGGUUUUCGGAUUGUAAACUCCUUUUGUUAGAGAAGAUAAUGACGGUAUCUAACGAAUAAGCACCGGCUAACUCCGUGCCAGCAGCCGCGGUCAUACGGAGGGUGCAAGCGUUACUCGGAAUCACUGGGCGUAAAGAGCGCGUAGGCGGGAUAGCAAGUCAGAUGUGAAAUCCUAUGGCUUAACCAUAGAACUGCAUUUGAAACUGUUAAUCUAGAGUAUGGGAGAGGUAGGUGGAAUUCGUGGUGUAGGGGUGAAAUCCGUAGAGAUCAAGAGGAAUAC
RNAcentral lists this ribosomal RNA (354 nucleotides) under uncultured bacterium. RNAcentral describes it as "partial 16S ribosomal RNA". It matches the Rfam family "Bacterial small subunit ribosomal RNA", at positions 338 to 709 of the family's 1533-position model. The record is from RNAcentral.